CUCUAAGUGAUUCCCUUGCUGCUGACUCAGCCUCUCCGCCAUUGGAGGAAGCUAAGCCAGCCCAGUGCCCUCCAGAUGACUCCCCAUGGCACACACAGCCCCUCCUCCCCUGGAGGAAGCUGGCCAGGUCUGGUUAAAUCUUUGAUGUUUUCACAGCAGCCUACUUGGGAUGACUGCCAACAACUCCUAGGGACUCUCUUCAUGACAAAAGAACGAGAGAGAAACCUCCUGGAAGCUUAAAAAAAUAUCCUCGGACCAGAUGGGCGACCGACAAAACUUCCCAACAUAAUUGAAGCUGGCUCCCCCUUGAACUGACCCAACUGGGACCCCAACACCUUUGAAGGUAGGGAGCAUCUGUCCACUUAUCGCCGGGCUUUAAUAGUGGGUUUCCGAGCGGCCGCUAGGUGACCAACUAAUUUGGCCAAGGUAAGAGAGAUUAUUCAAGGGCCUAAUGAAUCUCCCUCUAUGUUUCUAGAGAGAAUUAUGGAGGCAUAUAGGAGAUAUACUCCUUUCAAUCCUCAGGCAGAGGAUCAAAAGGCAUCUGUCACGAUGGCCUUUAUUGGGCAAGCUGCCCUGGAUAUUAAAAGAAAGUUACAGCGUUUAGAUGGAUUACAAGAUAUGACUUUGAGAGAUUUAGUCAGAGAAGCCGAGAAGGUAUACUAUAAGAGAGAAACUGAAGAAGAGAAGGAACAAAGGAGGGAGAAAGAAAGGGAGCAAAGUGAGGAUGAAAGAAGCAAAAGACAGACUAAGGCAUUGACUAGGGUCCUGGUCACAACAACAAAUAGGCCAAAAAUUAAGAAACAGGGAGACAGGAAGGAUACCUGGGCCCACGCCAGAGGCUGCCCCUGGCCUCAGAUCAAUGUGCCUACUGUAAAGAAAAAGGACACUGGGCCAAAGAGUGCCCUAGAAAGAAGCAGUCACGCCAGCCUGCCAUUCUGACUCUAGAAGAGGACUAGGAAAGUCGGGGCUCGGAUCCCCUCCCCGAGCUCAGGGUAACUUUUGAAGUGGAGGGGACCCCAGUGAACUUUGAAGUGGAUACAGGGGCAGUAUACUUAUCCCUUAAGACCCCACUGGGCCCCCUAUCAAAUAAAAGGUCUCUGGUUCAAGGGGCUAACGGCAGUAAAUAUUGGGCUUGGACAACUAAGAGGACUAUGGACAUAGGAAAGGGAAAAGUCCACCACUCUUUCCUAGUAAUCCCAGAAUGCCUGGCCCCAUUGAUGGGCAAAGAUCUGCUUACCAAACUCCGGGCUAGAAUAACCUUUAACCCUGAUGGUCCCCAAGUGGAGUUUCUAAAUCCCUCAGUAAAAACUCCCAUAGUCACGGCCCUGACUAUGUCAGUAGAAGAUGAACAUCAACUCUUCACACCCCCCUCAGGACUGAUCAAACAGGCAAGCUACCCCAGAAAUGGAUGAUAGAUUAUCCUGAUGCCUGGGCAGAAACUGCUGGGUUAGGCCUAGCCAUAAGACAACCUCCAAUAGUAGUAGAAUUAAAAGCCUCUGCCUCUCCAAUCAGUGUUAAACAAUAUCCUCUAAGCAAAGAAACUAAGGAUGGGAUAAGGCCCCAUAUUCAGAAAUACCUGGCUCUAGGGGUCCUAAGGCCCUGUCAAUCAGCCUGGAAUACCCCCCUGCUACCAGUAAGAAAGCCAGGAACUGGGGACUAUCACCCCAUUCAAGACCUAAGAGAGAUCAACAACAGAGUGCAGGACAUUCACCCCACGGUACCUAAUCCAUAUAAUCUGCUCAGCACUCUGAAUCCGGAGCGGAAAUGGUACACUGUACUGGACUUAAAAGAUGCUUUCUUCUGCUUGCCCCUACAUAAGGACAGUCAGCUGCUGUUUGCUUUCGAGUGGGUAGACCCAGAAACAGGAACAUCUGGCCAACUAACCUGGACUAGACUCCCACAGGGGUUCAAAAACUCCCCCACUCUCUUUGAUGAAGCCCUCCACAGGGACCUCAAUGACUUCAGAACUACGCACCCCGAAGUCACCCUACUCCAAUAUGUGGAUGACCUGCUACUAGCAGCCGACACCAAGAAGAACUGUGAGUCUGGGACCCAAGCCCUAUUAUCCGAGCUUGCUCAGCUUGGAUACAGGGCUUCUGCCAAAAAGGCUCAAAUUUGCCAGCAAGAAGUAAUCUUCCUGGGUUAUUCUCUUAGGGGUGGCAAACGAUGGCUCACUGAGCCCAGAAAACAAACCGUUGUGCAGAUACCGCCCCCAUCCAAUAAGAGACAACUCAGGGAGUUUCUUGGGACUGCCAGCUUUUGCAGGUUGUGGAUUCCUGGGUUUGCGUCUCUGGCCGCCCCUCUAUACCCGCUGUUAAAGGGGGAUGCCCAAUUCCAAUGGACCCCCGAGCACCAACAAGCAUUUGAUAAUAUCAAAAAGGUGCUGCUAUCUGCUCCAGCCUUAGCACUCCCAGAUCUAGAAAAACCCUUUACUCUCUACAUUGAGGAAAAGAAAGGAAUAGCACGGGGGGUGCUCACUCAAACUUUGGGGCCCUGGAAAAGGCCUGUAGCAUACUUAUCAAAAACACUGGACCCAGUGGCUAGUGGGUGGCCCCAUUGCCUAAAAGCUAUAGCAGUGGCGGCCCUUCUAAUAAAAGACGUUGAUAAAUUAACGCUGGGACAGAAGCUAACCAUUAUAGCCCCCCAUACCCUGGAGAGCAUUAUCCACCAGCCUCCAGACAGAUGGCUAUCAAAUUCUAGAAUAACCCGCUACCAGAGCCUAUUGCUCAACAAGGAUAGAAUAACGCUGGGACCCCCUGCCCUGCUCAACCCGGCUACACUGCUACCAGAAGAAUCAUCAGGACCCGUCGCUCAUGAGUGUCAACACAUACUGGCAGAAGAAACCAGCAUACGACGAGACUUGAAGGAUCAGCCACUGCCUCACCCUGAAGUCAUAUGGUUCACGGACGGUAGUAGCUUCCUCCAGGAUGGUAAGUGGCGAGCUGGAGCAGCAGUAGUUAGCGAAACUAAUGUCAUCUGGUCCUCUGGUCUCCCAGAAGGAACAUCUGCUCAAAGAGCAGAACUGAUUGCCCUUACGAAAGCAUUGGAACUAGCAACAGACAAGAGGGCCACCAUAUACACUGAUAGCCGCUAUGCAUUUGCUACCGCUCAUGUACACAGGGCUAUUUAUCAGCAAAGGGGGCUAUAAAGAACAAGGAUGCGAUUCUCCGCCUUCUCUCAGCAGUGCAGGGCCCUAAGGAACUAGCUAUAGUGCACUGUCCAGGGCACCAGAAAGGAAACGACCCCGUGGUGGUUGGAAACAGAAGGGCAGAUGAGGAAGCUAAAUUGGCAGCCCUAAUCGGAGUAACCAUGUUAACCCUUUCCAUACUGGGGGAACAACAAUCAGGAGACUUGGCCGCGCCGGAACACCCAGGCAACUUAUCAUCUGAGGACACUGAUACUGAACUCCAUGACUUCACUGAGCCUAGCUUACAAUUUCAGAAAGCCCUGAACUAUGUUAAAAAUGUGCAUCAACCCACAAUAAAAAAUUAAAAAAAAAAAUGUGCAUCAACUCACUCACCUUGGUUCAAAGAAACUGCAGGCAUUCCUGAAGGACCAGAAACAGAGCUUUCCAUUGACUGACUCGCAGCGAAAAGAAAUAGCUGAGCGGGUAACAAAAACCUGUCGAGUUUGCCAAUUAGUUAAUGCUUAUCCAUCCAAGCUUCCUGCAGGAAAGCGCCUACGGGGAACCAGACCAGGACAAUUCUGGGAAGUGGACUUUACUAAAAUUAAGCCAGCAAGGUAUGGACUUAAAUAUCUCCUAGUCUUUGUAGAUACUUUUUCAGGAUGGGUCGAAGCCUUCCCCACGAAGAAAGAAACGGCUCAGGUGGUGGUCAAAAAGAUCCUAGAAGAAAUUUUUCCAAGGUACGGCCUGCCUAAGGUAAUAGGGUCCGACAAUAGACCGGCGUUCGUGGCCCAGGUAAGUCAGGGAUUGGCCAGGACCCUGGGGAUUAAUUGGAAGUUACAUUGUGCUUAUAGACCGGACAGGUAGAAAGAAUGAAUAGAACCAUCAAAGAUAACUUAACGAAAUUAAGCUUAGAGACCGGCAUAAAAGAUUGGACUAUGCUCCUACCUUAUGCACUGUUUCAUGCAAGAAAUACUCCUUCCGUCUCUUUGUGUAACCUCACCCCCUAUGAAAUUCUCUAUGGUGCCUCUCCUCCAGUAAGGGACCUAACCCCAACUCUGAGAUUUAAUGAUUCCUUUCACACCCCCUUGCUUGACAGACUUAAAGCUCUUGAAAAAACCCAGCAAUACCUGUGGAAACAGUUGGCCACUGCUCAAGCUGUUCUGGGGGCUUUUGGCUCUUUACCCCUGUGAGGUGAGCUUGGAGCCCCAGCAUGCUGGACCCCCAAUAAACCCUUUGCUGUUGCAUGAGACAGUCUCUUGGUGGUCUUUUCCUCCGAUGUUCGCCCGACCUUUACAGCCGUAUUCUGGAUUUUGAUCAAUCUAAUGAGUAUGCAUUGAUAAUUCAAUGUUGUUUUAAUUUGUAUUUCCCUAAAGGUAAAUGGUGUGAAACAUCUUUUUAUGUGUUUAUUAUCCAUCUGUGUAUCUUCUUUGGUGUGGUAUCUCUUAAGGUGCUUUGGCCCAUUUAAAAAAGAAAGUUAUUUGUUUUCUUAUUAUUAAGUUUUCAGAGUUCUUUUUGUAUAUUGAAUGGUAGUCAUUUAUCAAGUAUGUUUUCUGCAGAUAUUUUCUCAUAGUGUGUGGCUUGUCUUUUCAUUCUUUUUAACCAUGUCUUACACAGAAAUUUUUAGCUUUUAUUUCUAUAGUACUGGGAAUGGGACACAGGCUGUUGCACAUGAUACUCAAGCACUUUACCACUGAGCCACAUCCACAUUCCCAGCCCCAAGAUAAUAUGCCUUUAUUCAGUGUGUCUUUUAAAAAUAUAUUCUACCAGUCUGUGACUUUGUUCUUAUUCUCUUGGCUUAUUUCUUUGGGAAUCCAUCCUUGGAAUACAUGAGGAUCUUCUCUCAGCAUGUAGACAGGGAUAGAUAGGCCUGGCAUUGGGGACUUUCAGUGGAUUGUCCAAAGGACAUGACCCUUCCCUCUGCUCUGCUAGGAAGGUUCCUCAUAGUAGCCCGGAAGAUGGACAUAACCUGUUAGGAACUGAGCAGCCCACAUUUUACCUUUUUUGGAGAAGAACAUGCUAUAGAUCUCUUUGGUGUUUCCUGAUAUAAAUAAAGCAGGCACAGGCUCCAUUUUGUGUAGAAGCUCCAUCCUUCUGAUCAUCUUGCCUGUCCUGACCCCGUGCUUGUUGUGGUUUCUUUACUCUUCUAUUUCUCUUAGCUUUUAUUUCUCAGCCAGCCCAUUCCACCCAGGAGAACCCCAUCCCCCACCACCGUGGGACGUGGGUGGGAUAUUUCCUUUGUGAUUUCUUCUUUUUUAAGUAAAUUUAAAAGUGUGAUGUUUAAUUGUCAUAUAUUGUACUGCUACAAAGGUAAUAAAGUUGUCGUGAUGGCAAAAGGUGCGACUCAUGCAGUUGAUGUCCAUGCGCUUCUGCCUUUGUCAAUGCUGUAUUCACUCAAUACAAUCUCACUCUAUAGGUUCUUUUUUUUAAUAUUUAUUUUUUAGUUUUAGGUGGAAUUUUUAAAAAUCUUUAUUUUACAUGUAUGUGGUGCUGAGGAUCGAACCCAGGGCCUCAUACAUGCCAGGCCAGCACUCUGUCACUGAGCCACAACCCCAGCCCUAUAUAGGUUCUUAAUCAAGAAAAUGACAAUCCUUAAUGCUGGGUAUUUCAAUAGACAUAAUCAAUUCUCAGCAAACAAUCCUAGACUAAUUCUAAGCACUGCAAACACUUAAUCAUGACUGGCUCAUGACAGACAUUCCCUCUGCAUGCUAAGUUCAAGUGUCAGAUCAAAAGCCUCAAGCCUUAGGCUUUAAGUCCAGCAGAUGCACACUCACUCAGACUAUGGUGAUUAGGUCAGGAAACAAGGCAGGCUUCUCCUGGGGUGGAGCUGACAGCCGGUUGAGGGGAGGCUUGUUAGGAAGAAGUUGUGACUCUCACCAAGGUCAAGAUAUGGCUGUAGAGUUUGAAGGCGGUGAGGGAAAUGCAGAGGAUCAGGCAAACAAAUGAUGAGAAAAUUGGGAUGUCAGCCCAGGUCCUCAUCAGGGACUUUGACAAUGUGCCUGAAAAUGUGCCGGCUUGCUGAAAGUCUGUUCAUUCACCCCAUCAUUUAUACUACAUAUUGGGGCUUUCAAUCCUUAUCAGCUGCCACAUGGUCUCUCAGUGACAUCAUUUACCCUGGGGUUAAAGCAUCUGGUCUGGUGAUCCCCACGCAGAUUUUCUGGCCUUUUCCCCUGAUCAGGUUGAGUACAAUAUGCCAGAGACUUCCUCUGAGUUUGUCAGGGUGGGGAGAAGUGACUUGUUUGUGCCUGAGGGCCAAACUGAAGGGCUCCAUUAGGCCAGCCCGGUGAGACUGCAGUUUUAAAAUGGAGUUGCUUAGACUCAGGCCUAAGGCCAUCCUUACAAAAGUUCACAACAUAUUAUUUUUGGAUGCUAUCCUUUGAAUAAUAGGACAAAAAUGUUCUUGUUAUUACCCACAUAUUCAGCAUUUUUAGUGCUCUAUAUCUCCAUAGUUCUCUGUAAAUCUGGAUUUCUAUUUGGUGUCAUUUUUUUCUUUUGCCUGAACAACUUCCUUUAAUAAUUCUCAUACUGUGCAUCUGCUGGUGAUAAACUCCUUCACUGAUAUGUUUGAAAAGUUCUUUAUUUCACCAUUUUUUUUGUAAUAUGGUUUCAGUGGUUAUAGAAUUCUGAAGUGCUAUUUUUCUUUUAUUACUUUAAAGAUGAUGGCCCAUUACCCUACAUUUAAUUUCCCUCCUCCUGACUAGAUUGUAAGAAUCUCUAUCUUACAGCAAUCUUUUGGUCACCUGAUACCUACUUAAAGUUUAGACUCUUACAGCUCUCCAAACUGCUUUUUCUCUUCCUAUCCACUUCCCUGGUAAAUUAUGAGGCAAUGUCUUAUUUUUUAUUCAUUCAACAGAUCCUUGCUGAGAGUGCCAGCUAUUGGGGCUGCAGCCAUGAAAAAGACAGACCGUUUUUCAUUUGGGAACUACAUUUUAUUGAGGGUAGGGACAGACAAUGAUUAAGUAUCAGGAACUACGAAUUUUUGCAAGGAGACAAUGAAGAAGUAAACAAACAGAUAAAUAAAAGAAUCACACAUUGUAGUUUGUGUAACUGGGAAGACUAAAUGGGAUGCUGGGAUAGAAAAUAUGAAAACAUCCUAUGGCUAGGAAGGAUCUCUAGGAGGAGGUGUUAGGAUGGCCUUAGGCCUGAGCCUAAGCAACUCCAUUUUAAGACCUACAGUUUCACCAGGCACAUUGUUAGAUCAGGACACAAGAAAAGAAAAAUUAAAAUCAAAUUAAAGCAAGCUUAUUAUUUCAACCGGCCGGGCUGCCUCUCCCUCCCAAAAUGGCAGGAACAAGACAGCACCCCAGCUUUCCUGCAGCCCAGCUUUAUAGCCCCGAAAGUUACACAAAGGGAGGUUACAGAUAACAGAACUCUGACAAGCAUCACACUAAUGGUAGUUUACAUUUUUUGCUGGCCCCAACAUCAGAAUUUAUGAGGACCAUUAGAGCCUCAGAGAGGGUCGUUGUCUGGCCAGGGAAGGCCAAUAUUUAUGAGGUGUCACUAAGUUUCAGAGAGGGCUGCUAUCUGGUCAGAGAGCCAGGCAUGGGUGAGUUCAAGGCACGGGCAGGCAUUCCAAGCAGGUUCAGAAUUUGCAGUAAUUUAUAGUAAACCCGAAAUUAUCUUUUCAUGGUUUUGUGGCGAGAUGCCCAAUUUUAAGAAAAGAUCAGGUUGGGUCUAUCAACAUCCACAGAGCCCUCCAGUAUGGCCUCAAACAAGUUACUUCCUGUCACCCUGAUAAAAGAGAGUGAAGACUCUGGCAGGCUAUCCUUCUCUGAUAAGAGGGAAAGGCAAGGAGACCCGGGUGAGAGGAUCAGACCAGAUGUUUCUGACCCCAGGGUAAAUGAUGUCACUGAGAAAUCCGGUGGUAGCUGAUAAAGAUUGAAAGGGGGGUCAAAAGCCCCAAAAUUUAGUAUAAAUGAUAGAGAAAAUGAACAGGGAUUCAGCCAGCUGAAACAAGGAUGCACUCGAGCUGGAGAGCCUGAUGAGGACCUGUAAUCCCAUCACUUGUCAUGUUCCUGAGCCUCUGCAUGAUCCUCACAGCUCUCAAACUCUACCACCUCAUCUGGACCUUGGAGAGAGCUGCAACUCCUCCCUAUGACCCCUCCUCAACCAGUUGUCUCCUCCACACCAGAAAAAGCCUGCCUUGGUUCUGGACCUGAUCACCGUGGUCUGAGUGAGUGUGCAUCUGCUGGACUCAAAGCCUAAGACUUAAAACCUUUGAACUUAGCAUGCAGAGGGAAUGUCUGUCAUUAGCCUAUCAUGAUUGAAUGUUUUUUUGCAGUGCUUAGAAUUAAUCUAGAAUUGUUUGCUGAGAAUUGAUUAUGUCUAUUGCAGUGUGUAGCACUAAGGAUUGUUGUUUUCUUGAUUAAGAACCUAUAGAGUGAAACUAUAUUGAGUAAUUUGAGUGAAUAAAGCAUUGAAAAGGGGCAGAAGCGCAUGGACAUUCUUUAUUUUUCCCCUCGACUGCAUAUGUUGCAAUUUUGCCCCAUCUCGACAGGAGGCGAGGAUUUCAGCAGGCUAGAGGGUGAAUAUCAGUGAAUAAAUUGUAUAUCUGAGGAUAUGAGAGCCUUGAGAGGACUCUGGCAAAUUUGGCCCCAGUUUGGGUCAAGAUGUUUUUAACCUAGUUUUGUUUUGUUUUUCAGUAAGUGAGAAGAAAAGAAGCAGAGCUCUAUGGCUGAGAGGGGCCUGAUAGCAGGUUGCCCCAUUGUAUGCAGUCUUUCUUUCUUUUUUUUUUUUUUUUUAGUUUUCGGUGGACACAACAUCUUUAUUUUAUUUGUAUGUGGUGCUGAGGAUCGAACCCAGCGCCGCAUGGAUGCCAGGCGAGCGCGCUACCGCUUGAACCACAUCCCCAGCCCUGUAUGCAGUCUUGAUGGGAUGCAAUGCCACAGUGAAAGCUGAAGGAGCCAGACACACCAUUCCCUUCUCUGGUACAGUUGGUAUAUGAGCACAUGACCCAUGCUUUGGAUAAUCGGGCGUUUUUCCUGGUAUUUUGAAGCUUGAUCUAGUAUCCCAGGGUAUUCACAGCACUGCUGACAAGGUUUUUGUCUUCCUGUGUGUAAGAAUAGCUUUAACCUAAGAAGGCCUUAGCCUAAGUAACUCCAUUUUAAAAUAAAACUGCAGUCCCCACCAGGCAAGCUAUGGAGCCCUCCAAUAUGGUCAUCAAGCACAGCUUGAUAAAAUAAGUCAUUUUCCACAACCCUGAUAAAACUCAGAAUGAAGUCACUGCCUUCACUCUUAUAAAGUUAGAGGUGAAAGAUCAGGCAGAAACUACUAGACCAGAUGUCCUGACCAUGGAAUGAAAGAUGUCACUGAGAAACCUGGUAACAGCUGAUGGGGAUUGAAAAGGCAAGUAGAAGCCCCCAAAUCUAGCAUACAUGAUGGAGCAAAUGUACAGACAUUCAGCCAGCCGACACUGAUGCCCACACGUGGAGAGCCUGAUGAGGACCUGGACUGAUAUACCAACUCUUCUCAUCAUCUGCCUGAUCCUCUGCAUCAUCCUCACCAUUCUCAAACUACAGCCACAUCUUGACCCUGGUAAGAACAGCACUUCUCCCUAUGACCUUCUCCUCAGCUGGAUGUCACCUUCACCCCAGGAGAAGCCUCCAUCAGUUCCUGACCUGGUCACUGCAGACUAAGGGAGUGUGCAUCUGCUGGACUUAAGGCCUAAGACUUGAGAUUUUAGAUCUGGCAGUUGAGCAGAGCAUGCAGAGGGAAUGUCUGUAAUAAGUCUGUCAUGAUUAAGUGUGUUUGCAGUGCUUAGAGUUGACUUACAAUUGUUUUCUUUGAAUUGACUAUGUCUAUUGCAGUUCCCAGCAUUAGGAUUGUCAGUUUCUUCAUUAAGAACCUAUAGAGGGGCUGGGGAUGUAGCUCAGUUGGUAAAGCGCUUGCCUUGCAUGAACAAGGCCCUAAGUUCAAUCCCAGCACCACAAAAACAAACAAACAAACAAACAAACAAACCUAUAGAGUAGAAUUGUAUUGAGUGAUUUUUUUUUUCCAAUAAAGCAUUGGAAAGGGCAGAAGCAUAUGGACAUUCUUUAUUUCUCCCCUCGACUGCACAUGUUACAUCCUGGCCCAUUGUGACACUAUGGUUCUUUUUUUUUUUUUUUUAGAGAGAGGGAGAGAGAGAGAGAAUUUUUUAAUAUUUUAUUUUUUAGUUAUCAGCGGACACAACAUCUUUAUUUGUAUGUGGUGCUGAGGACCGAACCCGGGCUGCAUGCAUGCCAGGCGAGCGCGCUACCCCUUGAGCCACAUCCCCAGCCCAACACUAUGGUUCUUGUAGCCAGCUGUUCUCCAACAACCCUGGAAUCAGGUUUCUCACUUUCACCCUGAGUCCCCAGCCAAUGUUGGUUUUUGUGUCCCCUGCCAUCUCUCUCCAGCAUUGGCUGGGGACUCAGGGUUAAUGGUUCACUCCAUGUAACAGAACUUGUUUAUGCUUGCUGUAGUUCAACUUUUUCUAUGACAACAGUGUAUCAUUUUGAUAAAAUAGAAAGAAAAUUAUUAGAGAGUGUGUGUGUGUGUUACUGGGGAUUGAUAUCAGAGGCACUUUAUCACUGAGUCCCAUUCCUAGUCCUUUUAAUUUUUUGAUAUUUUGAGAUAGGAUCUCACUAAGUUGCCCAGGAUGGCCCUGAACUUGCGAUCCUACUGCCUCAGCCUCCUGAGUCACUGGGAUUAUAAAUGUUCACCACUGUACCUGAUUAGAAAAAUUAUUAAAAAGGAGAAACA
This 10846-nucleotide long non-coding RNA is filed under the name Marmota monax (woodchuck). The stretch from base 954 to 1015 matches the Rfam family "Gag/pol translational readthrough site". The record is from RNAcentral. Lineage: Eukaryota; Metazoa; Chordata; Mammalia; Rodentia; Sciuridae.